This 75-nucleotide transfer RNA is filed under the name Candidatus Omnitrophota bacterium. Its description in RNAcentral is "Candidatus Omnitrophica bacterium (hot springs metagenome) tRNA-Gln". It matches the Rfam family "tRNA". From Rfam's summary of the family: Transfer RNA (tRNA) molecules are approximately 80 nucleotides in length. Their secondary structure includes four short double-helical elements and three loops (D, anti-codon, and T loops). Further hydrogen bonds mediate the characteristic L-shaped molecular structure. tRNAs have two regions of fundamental functional importance: the anti-codon, which is responsible for specific mRNA codon recognition, and the 3' end, to which the tRNAs corresponding amino acid is attached (by aminoacyl-tRNA synthetases). tRNAs cope with the degeneracy of the genetic code in two manners: having more than one tRNA (with a specific anti-codon) for a particular amino acid; and 'wobble' base-pairing, i.e. permitting non-standard base-pairing at the 3rd anti-codon position. Lineage: Bacteria; Pseudomonadati; Candidatus Omnitrophota. The record is from RNAcentral.
UGCCCUGUAGUGCAACUGGUAGCACGCCAGACUCUGGAUCUGGUAGUCCUGGUUCGAGUCCAGGCGGGGCAGCCA